CCAAUAGCGUAUAUUAAAGUUGUUGCAGUUAAAAAGCUCGUAGUUGAAUUUCGGGAUCAGUUGAUCGGUCGUGCCUCGGUACGUACUGGUCAAAUUGAUUCCUACCUUCUGACGAACCACGAUGUCAUUAAUUUGGUGUCGUGGGAAAUCAGGACUGUUACUUUGAAAAAAUUAGAGUGUUUAAAGCAGGCUCGCGCUUGAAUACAUUAGCAUGGAAUAAUGAAAUAGGACGUUUGAUUCUAUUUUGUUGGUUUCUAGGAUCGACGUAAUGAUUAAUAGGGAUAGUUGGGGGCAUUAGUAUUCAAUUGUCAGAGGUGAAAUUCUUGGAUUUAUUGAAGACUAACUACUGCGAAAGCAUUUGCCAAGGAUGUUUUCAUUAAUCAAGAACGAAAGUUAGGGGAUCGAAGACGAUCAGAUACCGUCGUAGUCUUAACCAUAAACUAUGCCGACUAGGGAUCGGAUGAUGUUAAUUUUUUAAUGACUCAUUCGGCGCCUUACGGGAAACCAAAGUGUUUGGGUC
RNAcentral lists this unclassified non-coding RNA (520 nucleotides) under uncultured Glomeromycotina. Its description in RNAcentral is "SSU rRNA". It matches the Rfam family "Eukaryotic small subunit ribosomal RNA", at positions 591 to 1113 of the family's 1831-position model. The record is from RNAcentral. Lineage: Eukaryota; Fungi; Glomeromycota.